AAAGGCGUCCUGAAAGUGAAGGCUCGCCUAGCGCGAGCCGAGGGAGGAUGGGUGUCCCCGCGGGGACGCCUCGCACUCCCAGGGCGUCUCGUUCUCAUUGCGAGAAGAGGCGCACCAAGAGCGUACACGCUGGGACCCGAAAGAUGGUGAACUAUGCCUGGUCAGGACGAAGUCAGGGGAAACCCUGAUGGAGGUCCGUAGCGAUUCUGACGUGCAAAUCGAUCGUCGGAACUGGGUAUAGGGGCGAAAGACUAAUCGAACCAUCUAGUAGCUGGUUCCCUCCGAAGUUUCCCUCAGGAUAGCUGGCGCUCGCUUCUCGCGAGUCUCAUUCGGUAAAGCGAAUGAUUAGAGGCAUUGGGGUCGAAACGGCCUCAACCUAUUCUCAAACUUUAAAUGGGUGAGAUCUCCGGCUUGCUUGAACUGUGAAGCCGCGAGAUAUCGGAUCAGAGUGCCAAGUGGGCCACUUUUGGUAAGCAGAACUGGCGCUGUGGGAUGAACCAAACGCUGAGUUAAAGCGCCUAAAUCGACGCUUAUGGGA
Molecule: ribosomal RNA, 538 nt
Filed under: Heterorrhina sp. c.s.syu201326
Lineage: Eukaryota; Metazoa; Arthropoda; Insecta; Coleoptera; Scarabaeidae
Description: eukaryotic LSU rRNA
Rfam family: Eukaryotic large subunit ribosomal RNA
Source: RNAcentral